Molecule: unclassified non-coding RNA, 386 nt
Filed under: Hevea brasiliensis (rubber tree)
Lineage: Eukaryota; Viridiplantae; Streptophyta; Magnoliopsida; Malpighiales; Euphorbiaceae
Source: RNAcentral
UCUUGCUUUAAUUUUUUUUUUUUUAAAUUGAGAUAUAAAUAUGAGCAGACUUAAUGUCUAUCAGAGUUGAAUAACAAAAAAGAAUUAAUGUAGCCGACUCUAACGAGUUUGAGAUCAAGGCUUAGUUGUUUUUGCUCAUUGCUGAGAUAUAAAUAUAAAAAUUUUUCUGCAGUAGCAAUCUCUAAUGUGCUGCUUACAUAUUGUGCCCUAGUAUUUGUGUUCUGGCAACCUCAACAUGAUUUAUUAAUUUAUAGCUUCAUCAGUUCAUUUUGCUUUCCAAAAUCAUCUGCUCUAUAUUUUUCUCUCUCCAGUUUCAUGGUAAUGGAUAAUAUUAGAUGGUGAAAUAAUUCAUAUUUGUUUCCAGAAAUCACUUGUGAUGCGCAUAA